Molecule: RNase P RNA, 240 nt
Filed under: Lachnospiraceae bacterium
Lineage: Bacteria; Bacillati; Bacillota; Clostridia; Lachnospirales; Lachnospiraceae
Description: partial RNase P RNA component class A
Rfam family: Bacterial RNase P class A
About the family: Ribonuclease P (RNase P) is a ubiquitous endoribonuclease, found in archaea, bacteria and eukarya as well as chloroplasts and mitochondria. Its best characterised activity is the generation of mature 5'-ends of tRNAs by cleaving the 5'-leader elements of precursor-tRNAs.
Source: RNAcentral
CAACUGCAGUAAAUGAUCGCGGCUUACUGGAGUUUUCCAGUAAGGUGAGGAAAGUCCGGGCUUCGCAGGGCAGGAUGCCGGAUAACGUCCGGUGGAGGUGACUCUAAGGCCAGUGCAACAGAAAUAUACCGCCAAAAUAGAAAAAUUGUUCUAUUUUGGUAAGGGUGGAAAGGUGGUGUAAGAGACUACCGUGUGGCUGGUAACAGCCAUAGCCAUGUAAACCCCAUCCGAAGCAAGACC